UACGGAGGGGGCUAGCGUUGUUCGGAAUUACUGGGCGUAAAGCGCGCGUAGGCGGCUUUGUAAGUUAGAUGUGAAAGCCCGGAGCUUAACUCCGGAACUGCCUUUAAGACUGCAUCGCUAGAAUUGUGGAGAGGUAAGUGGAAUUCCGAGUGUAGAGGUGAAAUUCGUAGAUAUUCGGAAGAACACCAGUGGCGAAGGCGACUUACUGGACACAUAUUGACGCUGAGGUGCGAAAGCGUGGGGAGAAAACAGG
This 253-nucleotide ribosomal RNA is filed under the name uncultured bacterium. RNAcentral's name for it is "partial 16S ribosomal RNA". It matches the Rfam family "Bacterial small subunit ribosomal RNA", at positions 524 to 776 of the family's 1533-position model. The record is from RNAcentral.